UACGUAGGGCGCAAGCGUUGUCCGGAUUUAUUGGGCGUAAAGAGCGUGUAGGCGGCCAGACAGGUCAGCUGUGAAAACUCGAGGCUCAACCUCGAGACGUCGGUUGAAACCGUCUGGCUAGAGUCCGGAAGAGGAGAGUGGAAUUCCCGGUGUAGCGGUGAAAUGCGCAGAUAUCGGGAAGAACACCGAUGGCGAAGGCAGCUCUCUGGGACGGUACUGACGCUGAGACGCGAAAGCGUGGGGAGCGAACAGG
RNAcentral lists this ribosomal RNA (253 nucleotides) under uncultured bacterium. RNAcentral describes it as "partial 16S ribosomal RNA". It matches the Rfam family "Bacterial small subunit ribosomal RNA", at positions 524 to 776 of the family's 1533-position model. The record is from RNAcentral.